Long non-coding RNA from Pan troglodytes (chimpanzee), 223 nucleotides. RefSeq lists it as uncharacterized. Lineage: Eukaryota; Metazoa; Chordata; Mammalia; Primates; Hominidae. The transcript has 2 exons. The record is from RefSeq and is a predicted model, not a curated record.
GCGAGCAAAGCACCCGUCCUGAAGGCCUAGAGGGUGCCCCCUGUGCCCCGCGGCUCCCCAGCACCUGCUUCUCGUUUCACAUCUUGAAGGAAGCACACUAUUCUGGAUGCUUGCAGAAGUCUUCCUGUUUGACUAGAGGAUGACAUGGAAACCCUGGAUCCUAGUCCUGCCUGUUCCCAAGCCAGUGAGGAAACUCCCGGCCAAAUAAAGCCAGUUUCUUUAA